UCCGAUUUGUCACCGACAGUCUCCCCAGAGUUCCCGGCUUUACCCGCUGGCAACUGAGGACAGGGGUUGCGCUCGUUGCGCCACUUAAGGCAACACCUCACGGCACGAGCUGACGACAGCCAUGCACCACCUGUGCGGGCUCCGUAGAGCACCGUGUUUCCACGGCUUCACCCCGCAUGUCAAGCCCAGGUAAGGUUCUUCGCGUUGCGUCGAAUUAAGCCACAUGCUCCGCCGCUUGUGCGGGUCCCCGUCAAUUCCUUUGAGUUUUAGCCUUGCGGCCGUACUCCCCAGGCGGGGUGCUUAAUGCGUUAGCUUCGGCACGGAACGGGUUGAAGGCCACCCCACACCUAGCACCCAACGUUUACGGCUGGGACUAC
RNAcentral lists this unclassified non-coding RNA (377 nucleotides) under uncultured Actinomycetes bacterium. RNAcentral describes it as "uncultured actinobacterium contains 16S-23S intergenic spacer region". The record is from RNAcentral. Lineage: Bacteria; Bacillati; Actinomycetota; Actinomycetes.